UGGGUAUAGCCCUCCUGAAACAGGAGC
RNAcentral lists this non-coding RNA (27 nucleotides) under Homo sapiens (human). Lineage: Eukaryota; Metazoa; Chordata; Mammalia; Primates; Hominidae. The record is from RNAcentral.